This 2055-nucleotide long non-coding RNA is filed under the name Salmo salar (Atlantic salmon). RNAcentral describes it as "lncRNA (ENSSSAG00000042907.2, ENSSSAG00020071134.1, ENSSSAG00075034995.1)". Lineage: Eukaryota; Metazoa; Chordata; Actinopteri; Salmoniformes; Salmonidae. The record is from RNAcentral.
CAAUGGGAAGGGAAUAUAUCGUUCGGAAGGCGAGUUUGUGCCACGGUGCUCUAUAGAACUAAUAGGGGCUGGCAGGGUAAAAAAAAUGAACCUAAUAUAAGGCGGUUUUUCGCGAUUACUUAAACACUACGGCAAACAGCUGGGACAAACGUGGCCUGGCUGCUUUGGGCUGGGCUGUGAGGUGGUCUCUGGGUGCUGGUCUAGGCAGAGAGGCAGAGCCUGCAGUGGUGGAGUGGCUGUGGGUGUUGAGGUGGUGCCCGUGCCUGUCCAUGCCCGGGGUCCGGAGUAGAUAGCAGCUAAAAUGUUUUGCUCUGCCCUCCCAACAGACGCUGGUUGGAGGGAGCUUCAGCAAUGGACUCAGGAACAGCAAGCGUUUAAUGCCACAGCGGUGGUCCGUCACAUGAGGCGUCUCUAGCUGGGACCAUGUCAGGAGGUGCCGAGCCAGACCACCCUGCUCAGCCACUGCAGAAGUGGCUCCCAGCCAGACCACCCUGCCUAGCCCCUGUAGAAGCCAUCUGCUGCUGCCUGAGGGGGAACACACAGAGUCUCCCGUUGAGGGUGGCUACUCCCAGAGUGCGAACCAGCGGGGCAGAACGAGACUCCCUGGCCAACUGUACCUACCGCUGCCAUCCAACCAGCUGCAUCUGAUCCCCCGGCCACCUGUAGUGUGGCCAACCAAUGACUUUCCCACUUUCCAGUCUGGCCCCGAACACAGAGUUGUUGUUCCAGCGCCCCUUCACCAGAUGGGGCAGGGAUGUUAAGAACCCAGGGUGGGGAGGAGGGAAGAGGGGAUUCUAUGAUGCCAUUGCCAACAGAGGAGGUCACUUGACCUAGAUUGGGGUGAGAGUGGAGGAUGAACUGAGAGAGGAGAAGAGAAGGAGGCAAGCUUAAGGAGAGGUGUUGUACCCAGUGUAUUCCUGGGUGUUAUUAGUUUGGGAGUGGGACAGAGCUUGGACAGUGUUUUUACUCAUGCUUUUUAAAAGUGUAUGUCUGCUUUUUUUCAUCUCUGUAUUUCUGUACAUGCUGUUUUUUUCAUUGUCGUUAUCCUUCCCCCUUGACAACGUAUAGAGGAUUGAUCCACUGAUGCUACUUGCAUGAUCAGAGAACAGGCAGACAGGUCCCAAUGCAUGUUGACUGACAACAGGUGUUUUUAUAACAUAAGGAGUCUACUGCAGAACUAUGUGUAUGCGGUACCACCCAUUGUGGAAUAGUUUCUGUACAGCAGAUAUUGUAGCUAAUAGCUCACAAGAGAUGGACUUACAUGCAAAGCCAUUCCUCAAAAAACUAAGAAUAGGUGUCUGUUAACCUACAGAGGUCUCGGUUAACCCACAGUUUUACUCCCUGAUGUUUAAACCACAUUCUAACCUGAAAGUGCAAUAUUAUCCCGUUGAUAAAGACACUUUUGGGGGAGAGUUUCAGCCUGCCUUUCAACUGGUCAAAACUUAAUCCAUUUAAGUUAUUAAGAACAUGGAAGAUGUAAUGAGCUCAGCCCUCUUGCUUAAGGGCAGGGAAUAGAUGUGUGUGAAUACAAAGCCAAAUGUGGAUAUGUUUUUCACUGUGUACAUGCAACCAAUUAACAUUCCCUUUUGGAUCACCCUUCCAUGGGUCUUUUCUUAAUUCAUUUUGGGGUUGUUUUUUCAAGCAAUUUUAUGUGUACAGAGAGAACUUGAAUUAAUGAAAGUAAAUAAUAAUCCAUCAUUACAUCUGUCACUCUCGCUCUCACCAUGAGGUCACGUUAAAUUGUUGAUACCUUUAAUAACCUAUUGCACAUACAAAAGUGACAUUUUUUGUUAUUCACUUAAGACCACUCCAUUUGUUUUUGCACCACCCUAUUUUCCAAAUACUCUGUUUAAAUGUCCAUAAUUUGAAUGUAUGUAUGCGAAACAACUUGACCUGGCAACCUUUGGGGUCUAAAAUGUUGAGAUUAAGUGGCAUUGAAAAGUCUGACAUGGAAUACAUAACCUAACUUGUGAUCUGUGUAAGAGGCAAUAUAGUGAGAAAUUGUCAGUUGUAACCCAUUCGGCUUAGGUUUUCAGCCCUCUAUCAAAAUAUUAC